CCUGGUGGCUUAGACGUUAUAGCAUCUGCCUGGAAGGCAGGAGACCCGGGUUCAAUACCUGGGUCAGGA
This 69-nucleotide transfer RNA is filed under the name Ovis aries (sheep). It matches the Rfam family "tRNA". From Rfam's summary of the family: Transfer RNA (tRNA) molecules are approximately 80 nucleotides in length. Lineage: Eukaryota; Metazoa; Chordata; Mammalia; Artiodactyla; Bovidae. The record is from Rfam by way of RNAcentral.